AUUGAACGCUGGCGGCAGGCCUAACACAUGCAAGUCGAGCGGAUGAAGGGAGCUUUCUCCUGGAUUCAGCGGCGGACGGGUGAGUAAUGCCUAGGAAUCUGCCUGGUAGUUGGGGAUAACGUCCGGAAACGGGCGCUAAUACCGCAUACGUCCUGAGGUAGAAAGUGGGGGAUCUUCGGACCUCACGCUAUCAGAUGAGCCUAGGUCGGAUUAGCUAGUUGGUGGGGUAAGGGCCUACCAAGGCGACGAUCCGUAACUGGUCUGAGAGGAUGAUCAGUCACACUGGAACUGAGACACGGUCCAGACUCCUACGGGAGGCAGCAGUGGGGAAUAUUGGACAAUGGGCGAAAGCCUGAUCCAGCCAUGCCGCGUGUGUGAAGAAGGUCUUCGGAUUGUAAAGCACUUUAAGUUGGGAGGAAGGGAAGUAAGUUAAUACCUUGCUGUUUUGACGUUACCAACAGAAUAAGCACCGGCUAACUUCGUG
This 484-nucleotide ribosomal RNA is filed under the name uncultured bacterium. Its description in RNAcentral is "partial 16S ribosomal RNA". It matches the Rfam family "Bacterial small subunit ribosomal RNA", at positions 30 to 507 of the family's 1533-position model. The record is from RNAcentral.